This 215-nucleotide unclassified non-coding RNA is filed under the name Hevea brasiliensis (rubber tree). Lineage: Eukaryota; Viridiplantae; Streptophyta; Magnoliopsida; Malpighiales; Euphorbiaceae. The record is from RNAcentral.
GAGAAUUGAUUUAUAGCCAAUAGCAGUUCAGAUAAAUCGGUUCCAUCACACUUGCAUUAUCUCCAUUAGUGGGAUAGAAAUUAUAUCUCGAUUCAAGACUAGGCAGAAAAUUUUCUAUCAAAACAUAUUUGAGUAAACCAAAGACCAAACCGUAAAAAUUGGGAUCCGUUCCCACUCAAUGGAAUAUAUAUAUAUAGAAUAAAGUUAAUUAGUUU